This 83-nucleotide transfer RNA is filed under the name Chloroparvula pacifica. RNAcentral describes it as "tRNA-Leu". It matches the Rfam family "tRNA". Rfam says of the family: Transfer RNA (tRNA) molecules are approximately 80 nucleotides in length. The record is from RNAcentral. Lineage: Eukaryota; Viridiplantae; Chlorophyta; Chloropicophyceae; Chloropicales; Chloropicaceae. RNAcentral also lists the same sequence under 1 other name.
GCCGCCGUGGUGAAAUGGUAGACACGUUGCAUUCAAAAUGCAGUGAGGUUAUACUCGUACCAGUUCGAGUCUGGUCGGCGGCA